This 200-nucleotide unclassified non-coding RNA is filed under the name Solicoccozyma sp. RNAcentral's name for it is "partial internal transcribed spacer 2". The record is from RNAcentral. Lineage: Eukaryota; Fungi; Basidiomycota; Tremellomycetes; Filobasidiales; Piskurozymaceae.
UUAAGUUCAGCGGGUAGUCCUACCUGAUUUGAGGCCAGAUAAUAAAAAGUCAUGUCCACGAGGUGGAACUUGUAUUGGGAAGCGGACAAGCGUCCUAGAAACGAGGCCACUCCGAAGAAUGUCCUUAGCGAAAUACUUAUUACGCCAAGUCAAACCAAGUCUCAAAGACAGAUCCAGCUAAUACAUUUAAGGUGAGCCGC